UAACUGAAGAGUUUGAUCAUGGCUCAGAUUGAACGCUGGCGGCAGGCUUAACACAUGCAAGUCGAGCGGGGGAAGGUAGCUUGCUACCGGACCUAGCGGCGGACGGGUGAGUAAUGCUUAGGAAUCUGCCUAUUAGUGGGGGACAACAUCUCGAAAGGGAUGCUAAUACCGCAUACGUCCUACGGGAGAAAGCAGGGGAUCUUCGGACCUUGCGCUAAUAGAUGAGCCUAAGUCGGAUUAGCUAGUUGGUGGGGUAAAGGCCUACCAAGGCGACGAUCUGUAGCGGGUCUGAGAGGAUGAUCCGCCACACUGGGACUGAGACACGGCCCAGACUCCUACGGGAGGCAGCAGUGGGGAAUAUUGGACAAUGGGGGGAACCCUGAUCCAGCCAUGCCGCGUGUGUGAAGAAGGCCUUAUGGUUGUAAAGCACUUUAAGCGAGGAGGAGGCUACUCUAGUUAAUACCUAGGGAUAGUGGACGUUACUCGCAGAAUAAGCACCGGCUAACUCUGUGCCAGCAGCCGCGGUAAUACAGAGGGUGCGAGCGUUAAUCGGAUUUACUGGGCGUAAAGCGUGCGUAGG
RNAcentral lists this ribosomal RNA (580 nucleotides) under Acinetobacter baumannii. RNAcentral describes it as "bacterial SSU rRNA". It matches the Rfam family "Bacterial small subunit ribosomal RNA", at positions 1 to 575 of the family's 1533-position model. Lineage: Bacteria; Pseudomonadati; Pseudomonadota; Gammaproteobacteria; Moraxellales; Moraxellaceae. The record is from RNAcentral.